UACGUAGGUGGCAAGCGUUGUCCGGAUUUACUGGGCGUAAAGGAUGCGUAGGCGGAUAAUUAAGUCAGAUGUGAAAUCCCUAGGCUUAACCAAGGGACUGCAUUUGAAACUGGUUAUCUAGAGUGCGGGAGAGGUAAGUGGAAUUCCUAGUGUAGCGGUGAAAUGCGUAGAGAUUAGGAAGAACACCAGUGGCGAAGGCGACUUACUGGACCGUAACUGACGCUGAGGCAUGAAAGCGUGGGGAGCAAACAGG
Molecule: ribosomal RNA, 253 nt
Filed under: uncultured bacterium
Lineage: Bacteria
Description: partial 16S ribosomal RNA
Rfam family: Bacterial small subunit ribosomal RNA
Source: RNAcentral